AGUCGCGUGGCCGAGUGGCAAGGCAGAGGUCUGCAAAACCUUCAACGUCGGUUCGAAUCCGUCCGUGACGU
This 71-nucleotide transfer RNA is filed under the name Sediminibacterium sp. RNAcentral describes it as "tRNA-Cys". It matches the Rfam family "tRNA". Rfam says of the family: Transfer RNA (tRNA) molecules are approximately 80 nucleotides in length. Their secondary structure includes four short double-helical elements and three loops (D, anti-codon, and T loops). Lineage: Bacteria; Pseudomonadati; Bacteroidota; Chitinophagia; Chitinophagales; Chitinophagaceae. The record is from RNAcentral.